RNAcentral lists this long non-coding RNA (819 nucleotides) under Cyanistes caeruleus (blue tit). Its description in RNAcentral is "lncRNA (ENSCCEG00000019429.1)". The record is from RNAcentral. Lineage: Eukaryota; Metazoa; Chordata; Aves; Passeriformes; Paridae.
ACACAUCAUAGUUCUUACUGCUUGUGUUUCCAGGGUAAGGAGAAAGAAUGACAAGCUCUGGCUCAAUUUUGGCAUUCUUGAUUUCUAAAUAACCUAAGGAUUUACAAAGCUUCAGAGACAGAAGGUGAACAAACCAGUGCACAAAUAUCCAGAACAGGCAAUGAGAUUAACUCCAUUCUGCCUUGCACAGAUCUGCCCUUCAAGCAAUUUCUUUCAUGAGGGGAUGCAGUGCUAUGAAUGUACACAUCCUGGAAAGUAUAUUUGGUGAGUUCAUGCAUGCCUUGGACUAUCCUCGCUGCCUGCUCUCAGAUAUUCUUAGUCUGAGUCAGGCAUUGCCAGGAUCAUGCUUUGGUCCAGUGAAACUUCACCUGCUGGUGCCAUCCUGCACUAUUGUCUCUGCUGCUCACAAGCUGGUUUUUUUAUGCAACUUUUUCAAAUUCAUAUUUAGCAGACCCUGUACUUGUGCUCACCAACUCAAAGACACUUUACUUUCCUUCCCAGCUAUGUUAAACCCCUCUAAGGUGAAUAAGGAGGCUUCUACCUCCAAAUGCAGAUUGUUUUCUCUCUGUGACCUUUUUAGCAUUUGAGGUUUACCAGAUGUUUGUAACAAUCUUUCUUCUCAACAAAGCUUUGUAGUUUCUCUACUGUUUCUACUGUUUAUCAGCAAUUCUCAAUUAUUAGCUUGCAUUUGAAUUAUCUAUUCUAAUUAUUUAAUUAUUUAUAUUUAUGUCCAGAUGAUGACAUAUAAAGCAGAGAUUUCAAUAGCCAGUGAAUUUUCACAAAAUAUCAAAGAAUAAAUCCAAGUCAUGAGAGUCUGCA